Magallana angulata is the source of this 860-nucleotide long non-coding RNA. RefSeq lists it as uncharacterized. Lineage: Eukaryota; Metazoa; Mollusca; Bivalvia; Ostreida; Ostreidae. The transcript is spliced from 3 exons. The record is from RefSeq and is a predicted model, not a curated record.
CGUUACCUCUAGGCUACACGUAAAAAACAUCCAAUAUCACGAUGUGAAACUAUAUUUAGAGAGGGAGUGCAUAAGAAAUCAUUGACGGAUCAAAUUACGUUCUUUACAUCUACAUUGACAAGUUGUAUUGCAUUUUCAUUUGUCAAAACAAAUCUUCUGUCAAAUGAAGAUUCUGAUUAGAUAGACUACUUACGUUUAGCAUAUGAGUAAUGACCCGAUGAAGCUCGAAUCAUAUUUGUUGUAUCGCAAGAACACACUACAAGAACAUUUACAGUGUUCUCAACUGGCAUAGAUCGUCGGGUAAAAGAGAGUUCGGAGAACACUUUGAUAAGAUGACCAUUUUAAUUCAUGCUGUACUCGUUGUCUCCCUCCUGUUCGGGACAGCCGUCAACUCUCAGUCGGUGUACCAGCAGACCUACGGACAGGGUGUCUACUCCCAGAACCCAAGGGGUCCAGUGCUGGCUGUGCCUCCGAACCAGUCGAACAUCCUUCUAUUAAUUAUACCAGUUAUUCUUGUUGUGUUUGUUUUGGCAAUCAUUCCAGUAAUCAUCGGUAGUUCUUGGAGUAUGACAGACAGAAUGAAAUCACGCUAUACCCGGCCUCCAUCUACAACCACUACAACGCCGAUCUCGACAACUACGAUUCCACAGAAUUAACCAAUGACUCGCACACCAAUCCCUAGAGUAUCCGAAAUAUCUGGUAUCAGACCAGACAUUUCAGCAGUGUAGCGAUGAACAUUAAAAUUAUUAUUAACAGACGUUUGUGUUUCUCUCUUAUUCAGGACUUCUUCUAAUAAUUUAACCUCGAGAUGGAAGUUGGUCAAACUUACAGACUUUUGAAAAAUGUCAAUCAUAGUUUUC